This is a long non-coding RNA of Arabidopsis thaliana (thale cress), 382 nucleotides long. RefSeq annotates it as other RNA. NCBI's taxonomy places the organism in Eukaryota, Viridiplantae, Streptophyta, Magnoliopsida, Brassicales, Brassicaceae. The record is from RefSeq. The transcript has a single exon.
AAUUAAAUCUUCUUCUUUCAACAAAUUAAUGUUUUCAGGAUAUUAGAAGAGAAAUUAGGCUGUGAAAGAAUAAAAGACAAAUGACUUAGAGAUAUUAUUUCCUUUCAUUUUUGGUGGGUUGUUGAAUUCAUUUUUUUUUGUUUUAAAGAAUAUUGAGAGAUUAAUUUAAUAUAUGUUUUCCAUUGUUUGUGCGGCUUGCCAAAAUGAGAAAGUUAGGUCCGUUGGUGUGAUUCAACAUAAACUGAUUAGGUAGUGGAUGCACAAUAAGUGCUCGGGCAAGUGUGGGCUAACCUAUGAGGAAAGAAAUAUGGUUAUCGUCAAUGUCGCAAAAUCUUGUCCAAAAGAGAGAUGUCUGAGAGUGUUGUGGAAGGAUGUAGAUUUA